UUCCGGUUGAUCCUGCCGGAGGCUACCGCUAUUGGAGUUCGAUUAAGCCAUGCGAGUCGAGAGUCCUCGGGACUCGGCGUACCGCUCAGUAACACGUGGGUAACCUGCCCUAUGCUGGGGAAUAACCUCGGGAAACUGAGAAUAAUGCCCCAUAGCCCACUACGCCUGGAACGGUGAGUGGGUCAAAGCCCCGGCGGCAUAGGAUGGGCCUGCGCCGUAUCAGGUUGUAGGGGGUGUAAAGUACCCUCUAGCCAUCAACGCGUACGGGUGUUGGGAGACAUUGCCCGGAGAUGGAUUCUGAGACACGAAUCCAGACCCUACGGGGUGCAGCAGGCGCGGAAACUUGGCAAUGCGAGAAAUCGUGACCAGGGAACUCCAAGUGCGUAGGGUAAGACCUACGCUUUUCUUGACUCUUCAAAGGUCUUGGAAUAAGGGGUGGGUAAGGACGGUGCCAGCCGCCGCGGUAAUACCGGCGCCUCAAGUGGUAGUCGCUUUUAUUGGGCCUAAAACGUCCGUAGCCGGUCUGGUGCAUUCGUGGGUAAAUCAACCCGCUCAACGGGUUGAAUUCUGCGAGCA
This 576-nucleotide ribosomal RNA is filed under the name uncultured archaeon. Its description in RNAcentral is "bacterial SSU rRNA". It matches the Rfam family "Archaeal small subunit ribosomal RNA", at positions 1 to 583 of the family's 1478-position model. The record is from RNAcentral.